RNAcentral lists this ribosomal RNA (492 nucleotides) under uncultured bacterium. Its description in RNAcentral is "partial 16S ribosomal RNA". It matches the Rfam family "Bacterial small subunit ribosomal RNA", at positions 29 to 507 of the family's 1533-position model. The record is from RNAcentral.
AGUGAACGCUGGCGGUAGGCCUAACACAUGCAAGUCGAACGGCAGCACAGUAAGAGCUUGCUCUUACGGGUGGCGAGUGGCGGACGGGUGAGGAAUACAUCGGAAUCUACUUUUUCGUGGGGGAUAACGUAGGGAAACUUACGCUAAUACCGCAUACGACCUACGGGUGAAAGCAGGGGAUCUUCGGACCUUGCGCGAUUGAAUGAGCCGAUGUCGGGUUAGCUAGUUGGCGGGGUAAAGGCCCACCAAGGCGACGAUCCGUAGCUGGUCUGAGAGGAUGAUCAGCCACACUGGAACUGAGACACGGUCCAGACUCCUACGGGAGGCAGCAGUGGGGAAUAUUGGACAAUGGGCGCAAGCCUGAUCCAGCCAUACCGCGUGGGAGAAGAAGGCCUUCGGGUUGUAAAGCCCUUUUGUUGGGAAAGAAAAGCAGCAGGUUAAUACCCCGCUGUUCUGACGGUACCCAAAUAAUAAGCACCGGCUAACUUCGUG